This 253-nucleotide ribosomal RNA is filed under the name uncultured bacterium. RNAcentral's name for it is "partial 16S ribosomal RNA". It matches the Rfam family "Bacterial small subunit ribosomal RNA", at positions 524 to 776 of the family's 1533-position model. The record is from RNAcentral.
UACGGAGGGAGCUAGCGUUGUUCGGAAUUACUGGGCGUAAAGUGCACGUAGGCGGCUUUGUAAGUUAGAGGUGAAAGCCCGGGGCUCAACUCCGGAACUGCCUUUAAGACUGCAUCGCUUGAAUCCAGGAGAGGUGAGUGGAAUUCCGAGUGUAGAGGUGAAAUUCGUAGAUAUUCGGAAGAACACCAGUGGCGAAGGCGGCUCACUGGACUGGUAUUGACGCUGAGGUGCGAAAGCGUGGGGAGCAAACAGG